Molecule: ribosomal RNA, 2140 nt
Filed under: Colletotrichum orbiculare MAFF 240422
Lineage: Eukaryota; Fungi; Ascomycota; Sordariomycetes; Glomerellales; Glomerellaceae
Description: Eukaryotic small subunit ribosomal RNA
Rfam family: Eukaryotic small subunit ribosomal RNA
Source: Rfam by way of RNAcentral
UAUUUAGUUAAUUCUAUUAGUAGUUAUAUACUUAUCUUAAAGAUUAAAUUAUAUAUAUCUAAGUAUAAGUAAUUAUAUAGUAAAACUAUAAAUAGCUUAUUAUAUAAGUUAUUAUUUAUUUAAUAGUAUUUUACUAUUUAGAUAACUAUAGUAAUUCUAGAGUUAAUAUAUAUUAAAAAUCCCAACUUUAGAAGGGAUAUAUUUAUUAGAUUAAAAACUAAUACUUUUCAGGGUUUACUAGUGAUUUAUAAAGAUUUUUUGAAUUAUAUAGCUUUAUACUAGUAAUAGUUUAUUUAAAUUUCUUCCUUAUUAAUUUUUAAUACUAGAAUAGUAUUUUAGUAUAAUUAUAAUAAGUAAUAGAAAGUUAGGGCUUAACUCUAAUAAAAAAACUUAAGAAAUAGUUAUUAUAUCUAAAGAAAGUAGUAAGUAUAUAAAUUACUUAAUCUUAAUAUAAAGAAGUAGUAAUAAUAAAUACUAAUAUAAGGCUUUUUUAAAUUUUAUAAUUAGAAUAAAUAUAAUUUAAAUUUCUUAAUAAAGAAUAAUUAGAAAGUAAGUUUAAUACUAAUAGUUAUAGUAAUUCUAAUUCUAAUAGUAUAUAUUAAAAUUAUUAUAAUUAAAAAGCUUGUAGUAGAACCUUAGGCUUAAUUAGUUAGUCCACCUUACUAUAUAUAUUAAUCUAACUAAGUUUUUCUUUUUAUAAAACUAUAUACUUUUUACUAAAUAUACUAAAGAAACAGGAUUUUUAUUUUGAAAAAAAUUAGAAUACUCUAAGUAGGCUUAUAUUUAAAUAUUUUAAUAUAGAAUAAUAGAAUAAGAUAUAUAGUUUUAUUUGAUUAAUUUCUAGAACUACUAUAAUAAUUAAUAAGGAUAGUUAGAAGUAUUAGUAUUUAAUUAUUAGAAGUAAAGUUCUUAGAUUUAUUAAAAACUAAUUACUAUAAAAGUAUUUACUAAAGAUAUUUUUAUUUAUUAAGAAUAACAAUUAGGAAAUUAAAGAUAAUUAAAUAUUAUCAUAAUCUUAACUAUAAAUCAUACCGACUAGGGAUUAGAUCAUGUUUUUCUUUUAACUUGUUUAGUAUUUUAUAAGAAAUUAAAGUAUUUAGGUUUUAAAGGGAGUAUAAUUAUAAGGUUCAAAUUUAAAGAAAUUAAUAAAAAAUACUACUAGGAGUAAAACUUAUAGCUUAAGUUAACUUAAUAUAAAGAAACUUAUUAAGUCUAAAUAUAAUAAGGAUUAAUAGAUUAAGAGCUUUUUUUUUUAUUUUAUAAGUAGUAGUAUAUAGUUAUUCUUAGUUAUCAAAAUAAUUGUUCUAUCUAAUUAUAACAAUAAAUAAGAUUUUAACUUACUAAAUAACCUAUAUUAUUUUAGUAAUAUACUAGCUUCUUAAAAGGACUAUUAGUUCAAGUUAAUAGAAGUUUGAAGUAAUAAUAAGUUAAUUUUUAUAAGCUUAUAAUAGUAAGUCUUAUUAAAAAUAACUAUUAGUUUAAUAAUUCUAAUUCUAUAGGGGAAAUCCCUAACUAUUAAGUAGAGAAAUACUUCUUAAAAUACUUAUUAUAAAUAAUACUACUUAAUAUAGGGAAUAUCUAAUUAUUUCUAAGUAGUAGCUAAUUUUAUAGUCGACUUAAGUAAUACUAAGUUGUUAUAAUGAAUAUAAAGAAGUAGACUUAAAAAAACUUAAAAUAUAUACUAAUUUUAAAUAAAAACCUAAUUUUUUAAGAAAGCUUAAUAGGCUAAUAUAAGGGGGACUUAUCUAACUAUAAGUUAGUAUUUAAAUAUUAUAAUACUUUUAGAUAUUUUAAACUAUAUAUAUAUUAUACUAAUAAAGCUAGUGAGUAUUUCUCUUACUAGAAAGCCUAAGUAAUCUUAUUAAACUCUAUUAUACUAAAGAUAGAAUAUUAUAAUUAUUAUUUUUUCAGAAGGAACUCUUAGUAAGUAUAAGUUAUUAACUUAUAUUAAUUAUAUCCCUAUUUUUCAUAUAUACUACUUAUUACUACUACUAAUUAAAGAGUUUGAUAAGGUUUUUAGAUUAAUUUAGAGAAGUAAGUAACUACUAUUUAAAACUAGAAAGUUAUUUAAAUUUAGUUAUUUAGAAGAAGUAAAAGUUAUAAUAAAAUUUCUAUUAGUAAAUUAGGAGAAGGAUUAUUA